Lynx canadensis (Canada lynx) is the source of this 267-nucleotide long non-coding RNA. RefSeq lists it as uncharacterized. The record is from RefSeq and is a predicted model, not a curated record. The transcript has 2 exons. Lineage: Eukaryota; Metazoa; Chordata; Mammalia; Carnivora; Felidae.
CUCCCCUGCUUGCGCUCUGUCUCUCUCUCGGUCUCAAAAAUAAACAUUAAGAAAAAUAUACGGGAGGCUGUUUACAAUGUAAAUAGAAAAAGCAGGUUAUAAAAUAAGAUGCAUAGGGUGGUUCUAAUUGCAAAUACGAUUGGGAGAAAAGACAUCAAAAUGUUACAAGUGGUUAUCAUUUUGUGACAGUGUCAUGAAUUGUUAUGGGCCCUUUUUUGCUUUGUAAAUAUUUCCCAAACUUUCUACAACGAAUAUGUAAUUGGGAAA